UUGGGUGAUUUUAAUGAAAUUUUACUGUCUACUGAAAAGGAGGGCGGUAACGCCAGACCUAACGCUAUGAUGAGAGAUUUUCGCAAUUGUUUGCAAGAGUGCGGUCUAGAGGAUGGAUGUAUUGGCGAUCUCUUCACCUGGAGGAGAGGCGAAAUUAGGGAGAGACUUGACCGUGCAGUUUGCAAUGUGGACUGGGCGAAUAAAUUUCCUCGGGCUGCGAUCAUAACAAUUUGA
RNAcentral lists this ribosomal RNA (234 nucleotides) under Triticum aestivum (bread wheat). Its description in RNAcentral is "partial small subunit ribosomal RNA". The record is from RNAcentral. Lineage: Eukaryota; Viridiplantae; Streptophyta; Magnoliopsida; Poales; Poaceae.